AUAUUUUUUUUUUCAUGUUGAUAUUUCUAUAUCAAUGUUGGUGUGAAGG
RNAcentral lists this small RNA (49 nucleotides) under Plasmodium falciparum 3D7. RNAcentral's name for it is "Pfa-npcR7303". Lineage: Eukaryota; Apicomplexa; Aconoidasida; Haemosporida; Plasmodiidae. The record is from RNAcentral.